This 65-nucleotide transfer RNA is filed under the name Caryanda elegans. RNAcentral describes it as "tRNA-Ile". The record is from RNAcentral. Lineage: Eukaryota; Metazoa; Arthropoda; Insecta; Orthoptera; Acrididae.
AAUGGAGUGCCUGAUUAAAGGGCUACCUUGAUAGGGUAAAUCAAGUAAUUCUAUUACCUCCAUUA